RNAcentral lists this transfer RNA (71 nucleotides) under Grasseichthys gabonensis. Its description in RNAcentral is "tRNA-Val". It matches the Rfam family "tRNA". Rfam says of the family: Transfer RNA (tRNA) molecules are approximately 80 nucleotides in length. Lineage: Eukaryota; Metazoa; Chordata; Actinopteri; Gonorynchiformes; Kneriidae. The record is from RNAcentral.
CAGAGCGUAGCUAAAUAGUAAAGCAUUUCCCUUACACCGAAAAGACACCCAUGCAAACUGGGUCGCCCUGA